Molecule: ribosomal RNA, 253 nt
Filed under: uncultured bacterium
Lineage: Bacteria
Description: partial 16S ribosomal RNA
Rfam family: Bacterial small subunit ribosomal RNA
Source: RNAcentral
UACAGAGGCCCCAAGCGUUACUGAGAAUCACUGGGUUUAAAGGGUGCGUAGGUGGCGCGUUAAGUUCGUUGUGAAAUCCCUGGGCUCAACCCAGGAAUUGCUUCGAAUACUGGCGUGCUUGAGGCUAGUAGGGGUCACUGGAACUGACGGUGGAGCGGUGAAAUGCAUUGAGAUCGGAAAGAACACCAACGGCGAAAGCACUCUGCUGGGCCGACACUGACACUGAGAGACGAAAGCUAGGGGAGCAAAUGGG